AGAGUUUGAUCCUGGCUCAGGAUGAACGGCUGGCGGCGUGCCUAAUACAUGCAAGUCGAACGGCAGUAGCAUAUACUGUAGUGGCGAACGGGUGAGUAACACGUUGGUGACCUGCCCCAAAGAUGGGAAUAUCACCUGGAAACGGGUGGCAAAACCGAAUAAGCUUGGCUGAGUUAGAGAAGGUCAAGUAAAAAGUGCAAACUACUUUGGGAGGGGCCUGCGGCCCAUCAGUUAGUUGGUGAGGGUAACGGCCCACCAAGACGAAGACGGGUAGGGGACCUGAGAGGGUGGUCCCCCACAUUGGAACUGAGACACGGUCCAAACUCCUACGGGAGGCAGCAGUGAGGAAUAUUGGUCAAUGGGCGGAAGCCUGAACCAGCCAUGCCGCGUGAAGGAAUGAGGCCCUAUGGGUCGUAAACUUCUUUUGACGGGGAGCAAUAAGGCGUACGUGUACGCCGAUGAGAGUACUCGUCGAAUAAGCAUCGGCUAACUCCGUGCC
Molecule: ribosomal RNA, 499 nt
Filed under: uncultured organism
Description: SSU rRNA
Rfam family: Bacterial small subunit ribosomal RNA
Source: RNAcentral